This is a non-coding RNA of Acanthosepion pharaonis, 114 nucleotides long. Lineage: Eukaryota; Metazoa; Mollusca; Cephalopoda; Sepiida; Sepiidae. The record is from the annotation of a GenBank genome assembly.
UUACGGUCCUAUCACGUUGAAACACCGGUUCACGUACGAUCACAGAAGUUAAGCAACAUCGAGCCGGGUCAGUACCUAGAUGGAUGACCACUCAGGAAUACCAGGUGUUGUAAG